This is a long non-coding RNA of Lineus longissimus, 649 nucleotides long. RefSeq lists it as uncharacterized. The record is from RefSeq and is a predicted model, not a curated record. The transcript has 3 exons. Lineage: Eukaryota; Metazoa; Nemertea; Pilidiophora; Heteronemertea; Lineidae.
GUGAGCUGCGGAGAACAUCGCGGGAACACUUGCUCCGAUUUCAAACGUAAAAAUUCCUUCAAAUUUUCCGAAACAAAUCAAAACGGCUGCAGCAGAAGAGGUGACUGACCCCGCGGCCCUUAAGGUGUGAAAGUGAGAAUGAUCAGUGCCAGCCUUCAGAAUGGAGAGGUGGCAGUGCCCAGUUUAAGCAGGGUCAUGGAACAACUCUUCUCUCCGUGAAAAGACCUCCAUGGAGACGAAAAAUAACUCUGGGCCAAGUCUCAGUAGAACCAUACCUUAACCCGACGUCACCAACCAAUAGGGAAGGACGCGUUUUCCAGUGGUCAUUCCAUUCUGCUCCACCAGGAUACGAAUCCUACCAAAAUGUGGCGGCACCUGUUCACACAUGUAGUGCCUUCAAAACUGCUUGUUAGAAAUACCGCUUGGUGGUUCAAAUUGCAUAAGCCCGUUGAUGAUGUCUUUUAACGUGGCGUUAAGUUGAUUGGACUUAACUGCAUGAGGUAACGCCAAGUAAGUGCUGGCCCUAAUGUAUUCUGUCGGAUUAUGCUAUCAAUGGUUCUGUACUUGAUGCCAUGAUGCUAAUAGCUCGUGAUUAAAGUGGGUGAUAGAAUGCUUGGUUCUUGGACUUUCUAUUUCCGGCUGUAGAAAC